GACGAACGCUGGCGGCGUGCUUAACACAUGCAAGUCGAACGGAAAGGCCCUUCGGGGUACUCGAGUGGCGAACGGGUGAGUAACACGUGGGUGAUCUGCCCUGCACUUUGGGAUAAGCCUGGGAAACUGGGUCUAAUACCGAAUAGGACCGCGCGCUUCAUGGUGUGUGGUGGAAAGCUUUUGCGGUGUGGGAUGGGCCCGCGGCCUAUCAGCUUGUUGGUGGGGUAAUGGCCUACCAAGGCGACGACGGGUAGCCGGCCUGAGAGGGUGACCGGCCACACUGGGACUGAGAUACGGCCCAGCCUCCUACGGGAGGCAGCAGUGGGGAAUAUUGCACAAUGGGCGCAAGCCUGAUGCAGCGACGCCGCGUGAGGGAUGACGGCCUUCGGGUUGUAAACCUCUUUCACCAGGGACGAAGCGCAAGUGACGGUACCUGGAGAAGAAGCACCGGCCAACUACGUG
RNAcentral lists this ribosomal RNA (462 nucleotides) under uncultured bacterium. Its description in RNAcentral is "partial 16S ribosomal RNA". It matches the Rfam family "Bacterial small subunit ribosomal RNA", at positions 28 to 507 of the family's 1533-position model. The record is from RNAcentral.